This 263-nucleotide ribosomal RNA is filed under the name uncultured Oscillibacter sp. RNAcentral's name for it is "partial 16S ribosomal RNA". It matches the Rfam family "Bacterial small subunit ribosomal RNA", at positions 77 to 339 of the family's 1533-position model. Lineage: Bacteria; Bacillati; Bacillota; Clostridia; Eubacteriales; Oscillospiraceae. The record is from RNAcentral.
CCGGAAGGUUAAUAUUCUAGCGGCGGACUGGUGAGUAACGCGUGAGGAACCUGCCUUUCAGAGGGAGACAACAGUUGGAAACGACUGCUAAUACCGCAUGACACAUUUGGAUCGCAUGGUCUGGAUGUCAAAGAUUUAUCGCUGAAAGAUGGCCUCGCGUCUGAUUAGCUAGUUGGUGAGGUAACGGCCCACCAAGGCGACGAUCAGUAGCCGGACUGAGAGGUUGAACGGCCACAUUGGGACUGAGAUACGGCCCAGACUCC